UGGGGAAUAUUGGACAAUGGGGGAAACCCUGAUCCAGCCAUGCCGCGUGAAUGAUGAAGGCCUUCGGGUUGUAAAGUUCUUUUAGUAGGGACGAUGAUGACGGUACCUACAGAAUAAGCUCCGGCUAACUUCGUGCCAGCAGCCGCGGUAAUACGAAGGGAGCUAGCGUUGUUCGGAAUUACUGGGCGUAAAGGGCGCGUAGGCGGUUUAGUAAGUCAGAUGUGAAAGCCCUGGGCUUAACCCAGGAACUGCGUUUGAGACUACUAGACUUGAAUUUGGAAGAGGUAAGUGGAAUUCCCAGUGUAGAGGUGAAAUUCGUAGAGAUUGGGAAGAACAUCCGUGGCGAAGGCGGCUUACUGGACCAACAUUGACGCUGAGGCGCGAAAGCGUGGGGAGCAAACA
RNAcentral lists this ribosomal RNA (402 nucleotides) under uncultured prokaryote. RNAcentral describes it as "bacterial SSU rRNA". It matches the Rfam family "Bacterial small subunit ribosomal RNA", at positions 355 to 774 of the family's 1533-position model. The record is from RNAcentral.